UAACUGACCUGCUGUGAACUGGC
RNAcentral lists this microRNA (23 nucleotides) under Mus musculus (house mouse). RNAcentral's name for it is "mmu-miR-1936". The record is from miRBase by way of RNAcentral. Lineage: Eukaryota; Metazoa; Chordata; Mammalia; Rodentia; Muridae.